RNAcentral lists this ribosomal RNA (468 nucleotides) under uncultured bacterium. RNAcentral describes it as "partial 16S ribosomal RNA". It matches the Rfam family "Bacterial small subunit ribosomal RNA", at positions 28 to 507 of the family's 1533-position model. The record is from RNAcentral.
GACGAACGCUGGCGGCGUGCCUAAUACAUGCAAGUCGAACGGAAAGGCCCUGCUUUUGUUGCUUUCUCGUUUGGCGAACGGGUGAGUAACACGUGUGUAUCCUGUCCUUAUCUUUGUGAUAUCUUUACGAAACUGGGGCUCUUACCGGAUAUGAUCUCCUGCUGCAUGUUGUGGGAUGGUAAGUUUCGGUGGUUGUGGCUGGACUCGCGGCUUAUCAGCUUGUUUGUGGGGUAGUUGCUUACCAAGGCUUUGAGGGGUAGCCGGCCUGAGAGGGUGACCAGCCACAAUGGGACUGAGAUAGGGACCAGAAUCCUACGGGAGGCAGCAGUGGGGAAUAUUGCACAGUGGGCGGAAGCCUGAUGCAGAAACGCCGCGUGCGGGAUAACGGCCUUCGGGUUGUAAACAGAUUUCGACUGUGACGAAGAGUGAGUGACGGUAAUGGGUAAAGAAGCAACGGCUAACUACGUG